AACGGCCGCGGUACCCUGACCGUGCGAAGGUAGCAUAAUAACUUGUUCUUUAAAUGGGGACUAGCAUGAACGGCACCACGAAGGCCUCACUGUCUCCUUUUUCCAAUCAGUGAAACUGAUCUCCCCGUGAAGAAGCGGGGAUGAUAAUAUAAGACGAGAAGACCCCAUGGAGCUUUAAACCCAAUAAGCAACCCUAAUCAACACAACUCAUCUAAAUUCUUUCUCCCCCUGCUUUUUGGUUUUAGGUUGGGGUGACCACGGAGUAAAACAUAUCCUCCACGACGUACGGGAUUAACCCUUAUCCAAGAGCCACCGCUCUAAGAAUCGACAAAUUGACGUUUUUUUGAUCCAAUAUAUUGAUCAACGAACCAAGUUACCCUGGGGAUAACAGCGCAAUC
RNAcentral lists this ribosomal RNA (398 nucleotides) under Fejervarya iskandari. RNAcentral's name for it is "partial 16S ribosomal RNA". It matches the Rfam family "Bacterial large subunit ribosomal RNA", at positions 1926 to 2487 of the family's 2925-position model. Lineage: Eukaryota; Metazoa; Chordata; Amphibia; Anura; Dicroglossidae. The record is from RNAcentral.